RNAcentral lists this ribosomal RNA (491 nucleotides) under uncultured bacterium. RNAcentral describes it as "bacterial SSU rRNA". It matches the Rfam family "Bacterial small subunit ribosomal RNA", at positions 903 to 1397 of the family's 1533-position model. The record is from RNAcentral.
AAAGGAAUUGACGGGGGCCCGCACAAGCGGUGGAGCAUGUGGUUUAAUUCGAUGCAACGCGAAGAACCUUACCAGGAUUUGACAUCCCUUGAUAGCUGUAGAGAUACAGAUUCUCUUCGGAGCAAGGAGACAGGUGGUGCAUGGUUGUCGUCAGCUCGUGUCGUGAGAUGUUGGGUUAAGUCCCGCAACGAGCGCAACCCCUAUCUUUAGUUACCAUCAUUAAGUUGGGGACUUUAAAGAGACUGCCGGCUAAAAGUCGGAGGAAGGUGGGGAUGACGUCAAAUCAUCAUGCCCCUUAUGUCCUGGGCUACACACGUGCUACAAUGGUUCGUACAGAGGGAAGCGAAGCAGUGAUGCGAAGCGAAUCUCACAAAACGGAUCUCAGUUCGGAUUGCAGGCUGCAACUCGCCUGCAUGAAGUCGGAAUCGCUAGUAAUCGCAGGUCAGCAUACUGCGGUGAAUACGUUCCCGGGCCUUGUACACACCGCCCGU